UACGGUCAAAUCACGCUGAAACACCGAUUCUCGUUCGAUCACCGAAGUUAAGCAUCGUAGAGCCAGGUCCUUUUUUAGAUGGGGGACCGCUUGGGAACACCUGGUACUGUAAGC
RNAcentral lists this ribosomal RNA (114 nucleotides) under Acanthosepion pharaonis. Lineage: Eukaryota; Metazoa; Mollusca; Cephalopoda; Sepiida; Sepiidae. The record is from RNAcentral.